This 139-nucleotide ribosomal RNA is filed under the name uncultured eukaryote. Its description in RNAcentral is "partial 18S ribosomal RNA". It matches the Rfam family "Eukaryotic small subunit ribosomal RNA", at positions 1299 to 1458 of the family's 1831-position model. The record is from RNAcentral.
UGGUGGAGUGAUUUGUCUGGUUAAUUCCGAUAACGAACGAGACCUCAGCCUGCUAAAUAGUUACGCGAUUCCCGAAUCGCGGCCAUACUUCUUAGAGGGACUAUCGGUGAUUAACCGAUGGAAGUUUGAGGCAAUAACA